AUCCAGUGUCCGAGUUAAGUUCACUUACUGCUUGUUCAGUGGGCGAUACCGUGCACCGGCACAGUACAUAUACAGUAAUAACAAAUACAUCCCGCCCCCAAGGACAUACAUCGUAGAUGCACUCUUCUCCGUGAGGAUGGCUGUGGAAUAUUGAUGCAGUAGUGGGGCAAGGAUUUCGAUACGUGCUGGAGCGGUCGCAUUCUGACCGUGCCGAGUCGAGGUUAAGAUCUGCUUCAAGCCGAUGCGGUGGUUGGCGUAUGGGCGAAAAGAUUCAUCCUUGCUCAG
Molecule: small RNA, 285 nt
Filed under: Histoplasma capsulatum
Lineage: Eukaryota; Fungi; Ascomycota; Eurotiomycetes; Onygenales; Ajellomycetaceae
Also listed under: 1 other name
Description: hypothetical RNA
Source: RNAcentral